UACGGAAGGCAGCAGUGGGGAAUAUUGCACAAUGGGCGCAAGCCUGAUGCAGCCAUGCCGCGUGUAUGAAGAAGGCCUUCGGGUUGUAAAGUACUUUCAGUCGUGAGGAAGGUGUUAAGGUUAAUAACCUUAGCAAUUGACGUUAGCGACAGAAGAAGCACCGGCUAACUCCGUGCCAGCAGCCGCGGUAAUACGGAGGGUGCGAGCGUUAAUCGGAAUUACUGGGCGUAAAGGGCACGCAGGCGGUUAAUUAAGUUGGAUGUGAAAUCCCCGGGCUUAACCUGGGAAUGGCAUUCAAGACUGGUUAGCUAGAGUCUUGUAGAGGGGGUAGAAUUCCAUGUGUAGCGGUGAAAUGCGUAGAGAUGUGGAGGAAUACCGGUGGCGAAGGCGGCCCCUGGACAAAGGCUGACGCUCAUGUGCGAAAGCGUGGGGAGCAAACAGGGUUAGAUACC
Molecule: ribosomal RNA, 452 nt
Filed under: uncultured bacterium
Lineage: Bacteria
Description: bacterial SSU rRNA
Rfam family: Bacterial small subunit ribosomal RNA
Source: RNAcentral